Nonlabens spongiae is the source of this 108-nucleotide non-coding RNA. It matches the Rfam family "Bacteroidales small SRP". From Rfam's summary of the family: The non-coding component of the signal recognition particle in Bacteroides Lineage: Bacteria; Pseudomonadati; Bacteroidota; Flavobacteriia; Flavobacteriales; Flavobacteriaceae. The record is from Rfam.
UUGCACCGGGCAAGUCCUACACAACCAGCUCCUGCUGAACUCCCCCAGGGCGGGAACGCAGCAAGGGUAAGCGGUCGUAGCGGUGUGAUGUAGGUAGCUUGCCUUUUU